GACGAACGCUGGCGGCGUGCCUAAUACAUGCAAGUUGAGCGCUGAAGGUUGGUACUUGUACCAACUGGAUGAGCAGCGAACGGGUGAGUAACGCGUGGGGAAUCUGCCUUUGAGCGGGGGACAACAUUUGGAAACGAAUGCUAAUACCGCAUAAAAACUUUAAACACAAGUUUUAAGUUUGAAAGAUGCAAUUGCAUCACUCAAAGAUGAUCCCGCGUUGUAUUAGCUAGUUGGUGAGGUAAAGGCUCACCAAGGCGAUGAUACAUAGCCGACCUGAGAGGGUGAUCGGCCACAGUGGGACUGAGACACGGCCCAAACUCCUACGGGAGGCAGCAGUAGGGAAUCUUCGGCAAUGGACGAAAGUCUGACCGAGCAACGCCGCGUGAGUGAAGAAGGUUUUCGGGUCGUAAAACUCUGUUGGUAGAGAAGAACGUUGGUGAGAGUGGAAAGCUCAUCAAGUGACGGUAACUACCCAGAAAGGGACGGCUAACUACGUG
Molecule: ribosomal RNA, 497 nt
Filed under: uncultured bacterium
Lineage: Bacteria
Description: partial 16S ribosomal RNA
Rfam family: Bacterial small subunit ribosomal RNA
Source: RNAcentral